Molecule: long non-coding RNA, 889 nt
Organism: Cyprinodon tularosa
Lineage: Eukaryota; Metazoa; Chordata; Actinopteri; Cyprinodontiformes; Cyprinodontidae
Exons: 3
Source: RefSeq, a predicted model, not a curated record
AGAAGAUUAAUACUUUUGAGUUGAUGGCUGUCAUUUCAUUAAAUAUUUUAAAUAAAAAUGUCGUAAAUUUACAAAUCUAUCCAAAUUAAAUUAAAAUGGAGAUAAACCAGUGUGAAUGAUGGCCAAAAAAUAUAAAUAUGUGCAUUGAAUUUAGUUUGUAAGUGGUUAUUAUGUGUAAAUUAAAAAUGAAACUUUUUCACAGAGAGCUGCUGUAGGCCAAAUAUCAUUAUUCCCACAGACGUGAUAGCAGCAUUUCAUCUGGGUGGAAACUAAUUAUUGAGCAACACCACCAAUAUCUAAGCGGGAAGUUGAUCCUGACAUUGAGGACAACCCUGUUGUGCUCCUCUCUGUGGCAACAGAAAACUCCACUGGCACCAUCCAGUUAAACCCCAACAGCAUUUGUGUCGUGAUCAAAGGUGACUUUGUUGUGAGAAGUCUCCCCAGGUUGGCUGAUGCACUUCUUCUCUUGUUUGGCUUAACAUAUGCAUUACAUUUAGAUUAUCCAAAGAAACUUGUCUACACAUUUACCUUUGUUCAGAAAAUACUGCUGUGUCUUGAUGAUAACAGGCCACUCAAACCAUUCUAAAUUGGAAAAAUGAGUUGUUCAGCAAUGUUGAAGGCACCUGUGUGUAAAUGAGACUUCACUGUAUCUGUUCCUUCAAAGUUCAAUAUUGCACCAUGCCGUAAAUGUGUCUGGGAAAAGAGUUUCUUAAUGAAGCACAGUUUACCCUUUCAGUAGUUUCAGAGUUGUCCUCUGCUUUAUCUACCUCAAUAUUGAUGCAAUGUUUGUGGCUAAUUUUAGUUGAAUAAUUGGAUGUUAGCUUUGAUUCCACCACAAUGUCAUUUUUCUUUCUCCAUAGCUUGUAUAAUUUGUUGUUUAAUUUGUGUG